AUGUCGGGGACCAUGGCUAUGAGCUCAUACCUGGGCUUCUGUCACCUCCUCCUUGUGAAGCCCAGCAGGAACAACCUGCUUCUUUGUGUGCAGCUGAACAUCAGCCAAUAUGACAAAGAAGAUCUAAAAGUAGUUUCAAAUAAAACGUUUUUAAAAAUUGCCAUUAUACCCCCGCCGCCCCAGUGCCGGCCCUUCCUAGGGAAAGACGCCGGUGAGCGCCCGCGGCCGCCGCCUCCAGGCCCGGAGCCGCCCUGGAGCCCGCGCUGGCCUGAAGCACCGCCGCCGUCCGACGUGCUUGGGGACGCGGCCCUGCAGCGCCUGCGCGACCGGCAGUGGCUAGAGGCGGUGUUCGGAACCCCGCGGCGGGCCGGCUGCCCGGUGCCCCCGCGCGCGCCCGCCAGCCCCAACCUGGGCGAGGUGUGGGCCCGGUUGCACGUGUCCCUGCGCCUGGUGCGGCGGCUGCGCGACCCGGGCCAUGCGCUGCGCGAGGCCGAGGCUGACGGCGUGGCCUGGGCACAGCUGCAUGCGGAGGCAAAGCCGCUGCGCGCCGAGCUGGCCGAGCGACUUCAGCUCCUGACCCAGGCAGCCUAUGUGGGCCAGGCGCGGCGCAGGCUGGAGAGGGUCCGGCGCCGCCGGCUGCGGCUUCGCGAGAGGGCCCGGGAACGCGAGGCCGAGCUGGAGGCGGAGGCCACGCGGGCAGCGGAGCGCGAGCAGGAGAUUGACCGCUGGAGGGUCAAGUGCGUGCAGGAGGUGGAGGAGAAGAAGCGGGAGCAGGAACUUAAAGCUGCUGCUGAUGGUGUCCUAUCUGAAGUGAGGAAAAAACAAGCAGACACCAAAAGAAUGGUGGACAUUCUUCGGGCCUUGGAGAAAUUGAGGAAACUCAGGAAAGAGGCUGCAGCAAGGAAAGGGGUCUGUCCUCCAGCCUCAGCAGAUGAGACCUUUGAGCAUCACCUUCAGCGACUGAGAAAACUCAUUAAAAAACGCUCUGAAUUAUAUGAAGCUGAAGAGAGAGCCCUCAGAGUUAUGUUGGAAGGAGAACAAGAGGAAGAGAGGAAAAGAGAAUUAGAGAAGAAACAGAGGAAAGAAAAAGAAAAAUUUUUACUACAGAAGCGUGAAAUUGAGUCCAAGUUAUUUGGGGAUCCAGAUGAGUUCCCACUUGCUCACCUCUUGCAGCAGCCUUUCCGGCAGUAUUACCUCCAGGCUGAGCACUCCCUGCCAGCGCUCAUCCAGAUAAGGCAUGAUUGGGAUCAGUACCUGGUGCCAUCUGAUCAUCCCAAAGGCAACUCCGUUCCCCAAGGAUGGGUUCUUCCCCCGCUCCCCAGCAACGACAUCUGGGCAACCGCCAUUAAGCUGCAUUAGUAAAGAUGCUCCAGGAGUGUCGUCCAGCCAAGGCUCUUUCCAGCUCUAAGUAUUAGUGACGCUGCCAUCUUCUUGUACUGUAGUAUAAAUCACAACCUCUAAACUCCAUGUGGCAUUUCCCUACCCAGAAGUUACGUUUCCCUUCUGUCCUCUGUCCUGGCCAAGGUGCCUCUUGAAUCAGGAGAUUAAUAUGGUUCCUCAGGAAAGGACCUAGGUGAACUGAGGUUUUUACGACAGGCAGUGGCCUUGGUUCAUGAAAUUCGCCUCUGUUUUGAGGGGCUUGGUCCAGAUUGAUUUAUAAGUUUACUCUUAUCUUUCUUGUGUGGUGAUGGAUAAGUAUACGCUAUACACUCAUACCCUCGACACAGGUGUGCACUGGGUAGAUUUAGCAGUCCCUCCCCCAGUACUCCUUGUUAAGGCAAGCUUGAUGCAAAACCUCCUUACCUUUCUUACCCAGAGAGCCUCCUAACUUCCAGGAAGAAAGGUCAGAAACGCUUUAUCUUCAGUUUUGUGAAUCCCACUUUUGGUGCAG
Non-coding RNA from Delphinapterus leucas (beluga whale), 1891 nucleotides. The record is from RefSeq and is a predicted model, not a curated record. NCBI's taxonomy places the organism in Eukaryota, Metazoa, Chordata, Mammalia, Artiodactyla, Monodontidae.